This 253-nucleotide ribosomal RNA is filed under the name uncultured bacterium. RNAcentral's name for it is "partial 16S ribosomal RNA". It matches the Rfam family "Bacterial small subunit ribosomal RNA", at positions 524 to 776 of the family's 1533-position model. The record is from RNAcentral.
UACGUAGGAGGCGAGCGUUGUCCGGAGUUACUGGGCGUAAAGGGUGCGCAGGCGGUGGCCCGCGUGGGCGGUGAAAGCUCCUGGCUCAACUGGGAGAGGGCCGUCCAGACGGGGUCACUUGAGGGGCGGAGAGGGGCGUGGAAUUCCGGGUGGAGCGGUGGAAUGCGUAGAGAUCCGGAAGAACACCGGUGGCGAAGGCGGCCUGCUGGGCAGUUGCUGACGCUGAGGCGCGACAGCGUGGGGAGCAAACAGG